This is a small nuclear RNA of Theobroma cacao (cacao), 151 nucleotides long. It matches the Rfam family "U4 spliceosomal RNA". Rfam says of the family: U4 small nuclear RNA (U4 snRNA) is a component of the major U2-dependent spliceosome. The structure of U4 snRNA from yeast and human has been reported. Lineage: Eukaryota; Viridiplantae; Streptophyta; Magnoliopsida; Malvales; Malvaceae. The record is from Rfam.
AUCUUUGCGCUUGGGGCAAUGACGCAGCUAGUGAGGUUCUAACCGAGGCGCGUCUAUUGCUGGUUGAAAACUAUUUCCAAACCCCCUCAUGGGCCUGGGUUAAGCCCUGGCCUUUGAGAAUUUCUGGAAGGGCUCCCUUUGGGGUAAAGCC